Long non-coding RNA from Pollicipes pollicipes, 286 nucleotides. RefSeq lists it as uncharacterized. NCBI's taxonomy places the organism in Eukaryota, Metazoa, Arthropoda, Thecostraca, Pollicipedomorpha, Pollicipedidae. The transcript has 3 exons. The record is from RefSeq and is a predicted model, not a curated record.
GGCGCCCGAGCAGAAGCCGGCCGACACGUCCAGCUGCGGCCGCCAGCAGAAGCGAUACACGUAUUCGAGUCGUCGGGGAUUCUGCGUUCCGUUCACAUACACGGGUUGCACUGAAACAAGCAAUAACUUCAUGACCAGGGAGGAGUGCAGGGAUACAUGCCAACCGAGAGACCAGUGCACACAGCGGCAGGAGUCGGGCCGCUGCGACGGCCGACUGGCGAGGUUUGCGUACGACCCGGCGGCCAACCGCUGCCGCCGCUUCACCUACUCGGGCUGCGGCGGUAAC